RNAcentral lists this ribosomal RNA (97 nucleotides) under uncultured bacterium. RNAcentral's name for it is "partial 16S ribosomal RNA". It matches the Rfam family "Bacterial small subunit ribosomal RNA", at positions 1384 to 1482 of the family's 1533-position model. The record is from RNAcentral.
UACACACCGCCGUCACACCAUGGAGUGGGUUGCACCAGAAGUAGCUAGUCUAACCUUCGGGAGGACGGUUACCACGGUGUGAUUCAUGACUGGGGUG